AUUGAACGCUGGCGGCAGGCCUAACACAUGCAAGUCGAGCGGAUGAAGGGAGCUUGCUCCUGGAUUCAGCGGCGGACGGGUGAGUAAUGCCUAGGAAUCUGCCUGGUAGUGGGGGAUAACGUCCGGAAACGGGCGCUAAUACCGCAUACGUCCUGAGGGAGAAAGUGGGGGAUCUUCGGGCCUCACGCUAUCAGAUGAGCCUAGGUCGGAUUAGCUAGUUGGUGGGGUAAAGGCCUACCAAGGCGACGAUCCGUAACUGGUCUGAGAGGAUGAUCAGUCACACUGGAACUGAGACACGGUCCAGACUCCUACGGGAGGCAGCAGUGGGGAAUAUUGGACAAAGGGCGAAAGCCUGAUCCAGCCAUGCCGCGUGUGUGAAGAAGGUCUUCGGAUUGUAAAGCACUUUAAGUUGGGAGGAAGGGCAGUAAGUUAAUACCUUGCUGUUUUGACGUUACCAACAGAAUAAGCACCGGCUAACUCCGUG
Molecule: ribosomal RNA, 484 nt
Filed under: uncultured bacterium
Lineage: Bacteria
Description: partial 16S ribosomal RNA
Rfam family: Bacterial small subunit ribosomal RNA
Source: RNAcentral